This is a non-coding RNA of Ictidomys tridecemlineatus (thirteen-lined ground squirrel), 71 nucleotides long. Lineage: Eukaryota; Metazoa; Chordata; Mammalia; Rodentia; Sciuridae. The record is from Rfam.
UGAGUGUAGCUCAGUGGUAGAGCACUUGCCUAGAAAGCACAUGGCCAUGGGUUCAAUCCCCAGCACUGCAA